This 466-nucleotide ribosomal RNA is filed under the name uncultured bacterium. RNAcentral describes it as "bacterial SSU rRNA". It matches the Rfam family "Bacterial small subunit ribosomal RNA", at positions 329 to 792 of the family's 1533-position model. The record is from RNAcentral.
UCCCAGACUCCUACGGGAGGCAGCAGUGAGGAAUAUUGGUCAAUGGACGAAAGUCUGAACCAGCCAUGCCGCGUGCAGGAAGACGGCUCUAUGAGUUGUAAACUGCUUUUGUACAAGGGUAAACCUGAAUACGUGUAUUCAGCUGAAAGUACUGUACGAAUAAGGAUCGGCUAACUCCGUGCCAGCAGCCGCGGUAAUACGGAGGAUCCAAGCGUUAUCCGGAUUUAUUGGGUUUAAAGGGUGCGUAGGCGGAUUGAUAAGUUAGAGGUGAAAUGUCCGGGCUCAACUCGGGAACUGCCUCUAAUACUGUUGAUCUAGAGAGUAGAUGCGGUAGGCGGAAUGUAUGGUGUAGCGGUGAAAUGCAUAGAUAUUACACAGAACACCGAUUGCGAAGGCAGCUUGCUAGGCCGGAUCUGACACUGAUGCACGAAAGCGUGGGGAUCGAACAGGAUUAGAUACCCGAGUA